RNAcentral lists this ribosomal RNA (456 nucleotides) under uncultured bacterium. RNAcentral describes it as "bacterial SSU rRNA". It matches the Rfam family "Bacterial small subunit ribosomal RNA", at positions 340 to 786 of the family's 1533-position model. The record is from RNAcentral.
UACGGAAGGCAGCAGUGGGGAAUAUUGCACAAUGGGCGAAAGCCUGAUGCAGCUAUGCCGCGUGUAUGAAGAAGGCCUUAGGGUUGUAAAGUACUUUCAUCGGGGAGGAAAAAACAAAACUAAUAAUUUUAUUUCUUGACGUUACCCGAAAAAGAAGCACCGGCUAACUCCGUGCCAGCAGCCGCGGUAAUACGGAGGGUGCUAGCGUUAAUCAGAAUUACUGGGCGUAAAGGGCACGUAGGUGGUUUUUUUAAGUCAGAUGUGAAAUCCCUGGGCUUAACCUAGGAACUGCAUUUUGAAACUGAAAUACUAGAGUAUCGUAGAGGGAGGUAGAAUUCUAGGUGUAGCGGUGAAAUGCGUAGAUAUCUGGAGGAAUACCUGUGGCGAAAGCGGCCUCCUAAACGAAUACUGACACUGAGGUGCGAAAGCGUGGGGAGCAAACAGGGAUUAGAUACC